Molecule: ribosomal RNA, 400 nt
Filed under: phytoplankton environmental sample
Lineage: Eukaryota
Description: partial small subunit ribosomal RNA
Rfam family: Eukaryotic small subunit ribosomal RNA
Source: RNAcentral
AGCUCCAGUAGCGUAUAUUAAAGUUGUUGCAGUUAAAAAGCUCGUAGUUGGAUUUCUGGUGUGACCUGCUCGGUACGUCCUUUAUGGAAUGUUUAUUGGGUCGGUCCAUCAUCCUUCUGGGGAGUCCCAGCCCUGUCUCUGGCAGGGAGGGGAACUAACUUUCCAGAUCUUUUACUUUGAAGAAAUUAGAGUGUUUAAAGCAGGUUCGCUGUGAAUACAUUAGCAUGGAAUAAUAACAUAGGACUUCGGUCUCUAUUUUGUUGGUUUCUAGAGUUGAAGUAAUGAUUGAUAGGGAUAGUUGGGGGUGCUAGUAUUGAGUGGUGAGAGGUGAAAUUCGUGGAUCCACUCAAGACUAACUUAUGCGAAAGCAUUCACCAAGGAUAUCUUCUUUAAUCAAGAA